CUGCCAGUAGUCAUAUGCUUGUUUCAAGGACUAAGCCAUGCAAGCCUAAGAGUAACUGAGACUAUAGGAGGUCUGCGAACGGCUCAUUAUAUCAGUGAUAAUCCACCGGGAGAAUUGCAGUGAAAACUGCUACCAAUGGAUAACAUCGCGAAACGCGAUGCUAAUACAUGUACAUCACGUGGUGUUAGCCAUCAAACUGCAUCUGGGCAACUGGGUGUAGGGCUUUCGCCUCGCGAAUGGUUGGUACAAAAACCAACGCCAGCAAUGGCAGUGUCGUAAAUUGAUGAUUCAAACCAUUCAGCAGAAGCGUUCUUCGGAACGCGAGUCCCGACGAAUCUCUGCCCUAUCAGCUUUUGACGGUAGUGUAGUGGACUACCGUGGCGAUAACGGGUACGGGGAAUUAGGGUUCGAUUCCGGAGAGGGAGCCUGAGAGAUAGCUACCACUUCUACGGAGGGCAGCAGGCGCGUAAAUUGCCCAAUGCCGAUCUGGCGAGGCAGCGAAGAGAAAUAGCGACUCCGCCCUUCGGGGUGGAGAUUGCAAUGUGUGGUAUUUAGCACCACUUACGAGUAACAAUUGGAGGACAAGUCUGGUGCCAGCACCCGCGGUAAUUCCAGCUCCAAUAGCGUAUAUUAAGGUUGCUGCUGUUAAAGGGUUCGUAGUUGGAUGCGGAGCAUUGGAAAUCAAGAGUUCGCUCUUGACCUUCCUCGCUCCGUUCAAUGACGGGACAGAUGCCUUGCGGAAGCCUCACUUUAUUGGGAGGCGGAAGCUGCCAGCCGAAGAGGCAGGCACUACGCAUGCGACGCAUGCUUUGGCCGCCCGUCGUUAUUACUGUGAAGAAAACAGCGUGUUCAAGGCAGCCGCUUGCGGCCUGAAUGACAAAGCAUGGAAUAACAAGGGAUCGACCAGUGGGUCAACUCUUUUGUUGGUUUUUAAGAUCCAUUUGGAUAAUAUGUUGGUUGCGCUUUCCUCGUCUUCAGUUCGCUGUUGGCUUGGAGCUCUUCCGAACACGGGAUUAAUGGGGGUUGUCGGGGGAAAACGUAUCGGAGCGUGAGAGGUGAAAUUCUUAGACCGCUCUGGGACGAACUUAUGCGAAGGCAUUUUCCAAGUAUACCUUCAUCAAUCAAGAACUAAAGUGUGGAGAUCGAAGAUGAUUAGAUACCAUUGUAGUCCACUACUGCAAACGAUGACGCCCAUGGAUUGGAUAGCUUUUUUUCAUGGGAUCUCUUCAGCACUGCUCCCCCUUCAACGCGAAAGCUGAGGCUAUGGUCUCAUGGGGGAGUACGUUCGCAAGGCUGAAACUUAAAGAAAUUGACGGAAUGGCACCACCGGGCGUGGAGUGUGCGGUUUAAUUUGACUCAACACGGGGAACCUUACCAGCACAGGAUAACGCAAGGAUUGACAGAUUGAUAGUUCUUUCUUAAUUCGUUUGACGGUGGUGCAUGGCCGCUUUUGGUCGGUGAAGUGAUUUGUUUGGUUGAUUCCUUUAACGGACGAGACCCAAUCCGCUUAAUAGGGCGACCAUCUACCUUUUGGUAAACGGACCCUGCAGGCUUGCCUGUAGGUCAUCCCGGAUGGUUAUACCCUUCUUCGCGGCAUUCCCUGCGUUUUUAGCAGGGUGGCAUUUUGGGCAACAGCAGGUCCGUGAUGCUCCUAAAUGUGCUGGGCUACACGCGCACUACAAUGGCAAAGUGAAUGAGUGAAACCUCUUUGGUCCUGCCUCGAAGGGGGUGGGGAAACUGAGAAAACUAUGUCGUGCUUGGGAUCGAAGCUUGCAAUUAUUCUUCUUGAACGAGGAAUGCCUAGUAGAUGUGCUUCAUCAAAGCGCAUUGACUACGUCCCUGCCAUUUGUACACACCGCCCGUCGUUGCUACCGAUGCCAGUGGGAUACAGGAUAACGGAUGCGGGUGUAGUUCGCUACAUUCACAGAAGUUUUCCCAUGUUUCACUAGUAGAGGAAGCAAAAGUCGUAACAAGGUAGCUGUAGGUGAACCUGCAGAAGGAUC
This 2003-nucleotide ribosomal RNA is filed under the name uncultured eukaryote. RNAcentral's name for it is "SSU rRNA". It matches the Rfam family "Eukaryotic small subunit ribosomal RNA". The record is from RNAcentral.